CAGAAGAGACACUGUAGAGAUAGAGAUUUCUCUGCCCACAUGCACAGAAGAAAGGCAACUUGAGGACACACAAAAUGGUGCUGCCUACAAAGAGAAGAGGCAUCAGAACAAAACCUACCUUGCUGACACCUUGAUCUUGGAUUUGCAGCCUCCCUAACUACCUGGGACUUUGAGGAAAAUUUCACAGCUAAAAGUUGCCCAGCUGAAAGAAUUAAAGGUCCAUGUCAAGACUUAACAGUCACGCAGCUCAGUGAGUCGUGUAACUCAGCCCCAGUCAAUCUUCUCAGAAUUCAAGACUCCAUGUCUGCAAAAUGAAGAUUAAAUGUCCUCCAGGAGAUUUGGAAACACUGUCAACUGACAACUGCAACCCUAUUUUUAAGCACCUCUGCCAAACUGAAAAUGAGAAGCCAUGCAAUGUGACCGUAGCCCUCUUGCCAGGAUGAUUGGCUCAGUUACUACAACUUCCUGAGUGUUGGCCUGCCCUCCCUUUGCUUUGACUUCUAGGAACUUUGACCCAGUAGAAAAGUUCUCAUGAAGAAAAUUCCACAAGUGAUUACACUGAACAUUUUUGAGGUGGAUCAAGCGGCAAACAACAUUGAAGCUGCCUGGUUUCUGAAGUUAUCAUCAACACAGAGGGCAUUAGAAGAAAAGGGGGCAUGCUUUUCUGAUGUCUUUAUUUUAUAGAUGAGGCAACCAAGACCAUAGUGAUAAAGAUUUUUUGAACUUC
Molecule: long non-coding RNA, 727 nt
Organism: Canis lupus familiaris (dog)
Lineage: Eukaryota; Metazoa; Chordata; Mammalia; Carnivora; Canidae
Exons: 5
Source: RefSeq, a predicted model, not a curated record